RNAcentral lists this ribosomal RNA (253 nucleotides) under uncultured bacterium. RNAcentral describes it as "partial 16S ribosomal RNA". It matches the Rfam family "Bacterial small subunit ribosomal RNA", at positions 524 to 776 of the family's 1533-position model. The record is from RNAcentral.
UACGAAGGGGGCUAGCGUUGCUCGGAAUCACUGGGCGUAAAGGGUGCGUAGGCGGGUCUUUAAGCCAGGGGUGAAAUCCUGGAGCUCAACUCCAGAACUGCCUUUGAUACUGAGGAUCUUGAGUACGGGAGAGGUGAGUGGAACUGCGAGUGUAGAGGUGAAAUUCGUAGAUAUUCGCAAGAACACCAGUGGCGAAGGCGGCUCACUGGCCCGUUACUGACGCUGAGGCACGAAAGCGUGGGGAGCAAACAGG